Molecule: long non-coding RNA, 376 nt
Filed under: Linum usitatissimum (flax)
Lineage: Eukaryota; Viridiplantae; Streptophyta; Magnoliopsida; Malpighiales; Linaceae
Description: long non-coding RNA (LUSI_LNC002578)
Source: RNAcentral
CAAAGGUAGCAUGUGAACAUAUUGCUCUUCCUUUGAAGGCACGAGGACUUGGAGUGAGAGACUUGGUAGCUUGGAACUAUGCAUGCGUUACUCGUCAUAUUUUAGUUCAUUAUGCUUCAAGUUGGCUCUUUGUGAAUUGUGUGGGUGGAAGUGUGCAGGUUGAAGUGUGGUUAAUGUAUCGUACGUAGUUUAUUGUUUCUUAUAAGAUUAUAAGUAAAGUAUUGGAAGCAAUAAUUUUUUUUUUGGGUGAAUUUAAGCUAUAAUCUUUGGUUCUUCGUUAUCAUACAAAACACUACGUCAAAAUUAGCAAACAAUAACGAAAUUAUUUUUACUUUAUUAUAUUGGGAGAUGGAUGGAGGUAAUCAGAGAGAAAGUG